UUUCGCUCCAACUCCAUACAAUAAAAUCACAGCUGCUGUCCGGCGAAGGAAAGUUUCUACGAUCAUCAAGUUGCAUUUUACACCUUCGCGGGACAAGUUCGAGUAAAAAUAUCAUUAAAACUGCUGGCGUGGCGUUCUCGCUAAACACUUUGAGUGUGUACGUGUCGCAGCCUGCUUGGCCAACGUGCACGCAGCGAUCGGUAUAAGUGGAUCUAGGUCGCUGUGUGCCAGUGUCAUCAUCAUCAUUUCGGGCUGCGGCGUACGCGGCUAGCGACUGAGAUUUUUGCUGAAGCGCCGAGAGCUAUAAGUGAGAUGCUAUCAACUUUCAGUUUCGUCACAUGGCUGGCUGACAUUUGGCGACACGUGUGACUGUGAUAUUGCUAGUCCCGCAUACAGCUGUAAACACGUUUCUCACAGUACAACUGUGAUAUCGCAUAACACCGGUGUAUGUAGGCCUACGCGUGUGUAUAUUGUGUAAGGUGACGCCUUAUGACUGGAAAUUAGUAAUCGACGCUAGGCAGCAUCAGCAUGAGAGUGUACGUAAUCGCUGUCAUCGCCAUCUUCGCCUGCUCGCUCCUCGUCAUCGCCAGCUGUAAGAAGGCGACAACGCCGAGCGGCGACAGCGAGGACGACGACGUUGACGAUGAGGACGACGGGCAGGACCUGUACGAGGUGCUAGGAGUGAAGAGGACGGUGACAGAGAAGGAGAUAAAGAAAGCCUUCAGGAGGCUGGCGGUGAAACAUCACCCCGAUAAACACAAAGGCGAUGCAGAGAAGAAGGAUGCAGAGAAGAGGUUCAGGAAGAUAGCAGCUGCGUACGAGAUUCUCUCUGACAAAGAAAAGAGAGAGAAGUACGACAGGUUUGGCCACGAUGCGUUCAAGCAGCCACGGCCCGGCGGCGGUCCACCGCACGGGUUCCGCCCGCCGGACUUUGACUUCAAUGACUUCUACCGACACUUCGACGACAGCUUUAACUUCCGGCAGCAGGGCGGUCACCAUCGUGACGACCACGACCGUCACAGCUUCAAGUUCGGAAACAGGUUCUUUGAUUUUGAUGACCUGUUUGAUGACAUGGAUAAUGACGAUUUCUUCACUGUCAAUAUGAACCAUGGUGAUCCGUUCAGACCAGGUAACGGGUUCCACAACUUUGGUUUCGGCAACGGCUUUGGGCCGGACAUGUUUGAAGGCCCUCAUCCGCAUUCACCAUGGCAACAGCAACAUCAGCAACAAUCGUGGAUGCCUCAGCAACGCGACGAUGGCAAAUUCCACGCGUGGAGGGAGGCGGAGUUUAGAGAAGCCCACGAACCAUUUAGACGAGCACCACGUCAGCCCGACGACCAUCUGAAUAAGCACCAUCAGCAGCAUAGACAGACUGUACACGAAUGGCAACAGUUUAUGAAGCAGGACGGCCAUCACCAGCAGCACUGCAAGACGGUGACGAAGAGACAGGGAAAUACGGUGUCAACGUCCACGACGUGUAACUGAAGCCCGAAGCCAUACUUGGGAAACGCGAGUCGCUGCUGCAUGCAUGGAUGCGCGCCUCAUCCCUGAUGUAAACAACUUGUCGUGCUUCUGGAAGAGAGCGCUCCAUUGCAGCUCGAUCCAACAACAAACAAGCGCACGACACAGGGGAAGUGUGCGUAGGAUAUCUUCUUCCUAGCUUGCUGGCCGAUCUUCAUUCAAAGAAGAGACUUUUUCGUCGGCUCCUCUCGUGCGUGGAAACCAGCGUGCUAUAUAGGUGUGCGGCGUUCGGUCUACAUUGUACGUGGUUCUUCCGUUACACGCGCGCAUUCAAUGGAUUGAAAAUGAGGAAAAACGCGUUGCAGAUGUACGACGAUAGGUGGCAGCACUGAAUGCAUUCCGGACUCCACCCGGCAUUAG
RNAcentral lists this unclassified non-coding RNA (1881 nucleotides) under Priapulus caudatus. RNAcentral describes it as "dnaJ homolog subfamily B member 9-like, transcript variant X2". Lineage: Eukaryota; Metazoa; Priapulida; Priapulimorpha; Priapulimorphida; Priapulidae. The record is from RNAcentral.